This 306-nucleotide long non-coding RNA is filed under the name Phoenix dactylifera (date palm). RNAcentral's name for it is "long non-coding RNA (PDAC_LNC022390)". Lineage: Eukaryota; Viridiplantae; Streptophyta; Magnoliopsida; Arecales; Arecaceae. The record is from RNAcentral.
GCUUGGGGAUGAUCCGGUUACUGGGAUGCCUUUGCUGCUGGGACGGUUCCGCUGGAACACGUGGAUGGCCGUUGGGGUGUUGCUUCAUGGAUGAAAGAAAGAGCCGGUUCGGGAGACGGGAAGCCAAGCGACUUGAAGACCUUUUGCGCUGCUGAAAUACUGCCGUUGGGAGGUUGAACGUUGCAAAUGUGCUUGGAAACGGAUGAGACGCGGCUUGGGGACGACGUGAGAUGCCAUGCGGACGGUUUCUGGAUGUUGGAUCGUUGAAGAGUUGGGCAGUUUGAUCAGACGAUUUUGGCUGGGAAG